Molecule: small nucleolar RNA, 90 nt
Filed under: Schizosaccharomyces japonicus yFS275
Lineage: Eukaryota; Fungi; Ascomycota; Schizosaccharomycetes; Schizosaccharomycetales; Schizosaccharomycetaceae
Source: RNAcentral
UACUAUGAUGAACACGAGCCAGAAGGCUCUACUAUAUAAACCCAGCUCUUUGAGCCCUCAUGGGCAUGAAACGAGAAAUCCGUUCUGAUA